This 305-nucleotide ribosomal RNA is filed under the name uncultured bacterium. RNAcentral's name for it is "bacterial SSU rRNA". It matches the Rfam family "Bacterial small subunit ribosomal RNA", at positions 335 to 638 of the family's 1533-position model. The record is from RNAcentral.
UUGCCUACGGGGGGCAGCAGUGAGGAAUAUUGGUCAAUGGGCGAGAGCCUGAACCAGCCAAGUCGCGUGAGGGAGUACUGCCCUAUGGGUUGUAAACCUCUUUUGUCGGGGAGCAAAGCGAGUCACGUGUGACUCAUUGAGAGUACCCGAAGAAAAAGCAUCGGCUAACUCCGUGCCAGCAGCCGCGGUAAUACGGAGGAUGCGAGCGUUAUCCGGAUUUAUUGGGUUUAAAAGGUGCGCAGGCGGAGGUGCAAGUCAGCGGUCAAAUUGCGGGGCUCAACCCCGUACUGCCGUUGAAACUGCAU